CGAGGCAGUCACCCCAAAGGGUGAGCGACUUUGGGGGAGUUGGUGCCUCGCCCCCAACCCCAGGCCUUCGCGGGGUCAUGGGGGCCCCCCUUUCUGGGCCAGGCGUUGUGCAAGGAGGGACCCUGCUGCUGCUCGGCUUUUUGGGGAUAGUGUCUGGGCUCAGCCUGGAGCCUGUCUACUGGAACUCGGCGAAUAAGAGGUUCCAGGCAGAGGGAGGUUAUGUGCUCUACCCUCAGAUCGGGGACCGGCUGGACCUGCUCUGCCCCCGGGCCCGGCCUCCCGGCCCCCACUCCUCUCCCAAUUAUGAGUUCUACAAGCUCUACCUGGUAGGGGGUGCCCAGGGCCGGCGUUGUGAAGCACCCCCUGCCCCAAACCUCCUCCUCACUUGUGACCGGCCAGACCUGGAUCUCCGCUUCACCAUCAAGUUCCAGGAGUACAGCCCCAACCUCUGGGGCCAUGAGUUCCGCUCACACCACGAUUACUACAUAAUUGCUACGUCGGACGGGACCCGGGAAGGCCUGGAGAGCUUGCAGGGCGGCGUGUGCCUGACCAGGGGCAUGAAGGUUCUUCUUAGAGUGGGACAAAGUCCCCGAGGAGGGGCCGCCCCCCGAAAACCCGUGUCCGAAAUGCCUAUGGAGAGAGACCGAGGGGCAGUCCACAGCCUGGAACCCGGGAAGGAGAACGUGCCAGGUGACCCCACCAGCAAUGCAACCUCCCGGGGUGCUGAAGGCCCCCUGCCCCCUCCCAGCAUGCCCGCAGUGGCCGGGGCAGCGGGGGGGCUGGCGCUGCUCUUGCUGGGCGUGGCAGGGGCUGGGGGUGCCAUGUGCUGGCGGAGACGGCGGGCCAAGCCUUCGGAGAGUCGCCACCCUGGUCCUGGCUCCUUUGGGAGGGGAGGGUCUCUGGGCCUGGGGGGCACGGGGGGCAUGGGACCUCGGGAGGCAGAGCCCGGGGAGCUAGGGAUAGCUCUGCGGGGCGGAGGGGCCACGGAUCCCCCCUUUUGUCCCCACUAUGAGAAGGUGAGUGGCGACUAUGGGCAUCCAGUGUACAUCGUGCAGGAUGGGCCCCCCCAGAGCCCUCCAAACAUCUACUACAAGGUAUGAGGGUGCCUCCCCUCCAGCUCUCCUGGAUCCAGCCCUUUUUGAGGUGCUCCCUCCAAUUUCAUUCAUGGUUUGAGGGAUGCCUCCAGCAUUUCCUUGGCCCCUCCACCCCUCCACCUCCUUUGUUUCUCCUGGCUAUGCCCCCGAUCUCCACUUCUAGGAUACCUUAAGACUUCCACUGAGUCACCUCCUGCCUUUCCAUUUGGGCACGUGCACCCCUGUCUGUCUUCAUUCCUGGGUCCUAUUCCUUUGGGGAAGGGGCAGAGGCUCAGCCUCCUCUUCUGACUGUGACCCAGGUACCCUUGUCCCCCUCACCCAGAGAGCUGGGGGUGGGAGCAGCCUGUUUUUUGGUUGGCAUCUCUUCCUUUCUGCCUCUCACUGUUUUUCUCUUCUUUUCUCCUCUCUCUCUCUUUCUCUCUCGUAUUCUUUCUCUUUCUUCCGUCUCUAGGUCUGUUCUUCUUUUCUAGCACCCCCUCCCUACAUCUCCUUUCACCCUCUUGCCUUCUUAUGCUGCGCCUCUCCCAUCUCCUGGGUGGGGUCGUCAAAGCCUUUCUCCCCUCAGCUCUUGGUCCCUCUUCUGAACUCUCUUCCCAACCACUCCCCUCAGUCUGCCAAAAAACAGGGGGCCUUGUGGGAAAGGCUCUUGGCACUCCAUCGCAGUGCCAGGCAUGGGCAGCAGGGCCCCCUUCUCUUCACACUUGCUCCAGCCAUUGGGGUGGUUGGGUCACGACAGCUGCUGUGAGAAGAAGCGUCCCGUUUUGCCCAGGAGUGGCCAGUGGCAAGAUAGGAACCGGUCGGGACAUAUAUGGACUCGGCGUGAUGCUGAGUGGACCCCUUGGGACAGGAAGUGACUUGCUCCAGACAAGAAGCGACCAGGCCUGGACAGAAAUGGCCUGGGAAGUGGCAGCAGCAGUGCAGCAGCAACUGGAAGUGCCUUCAUCCAGGACAGGAAGUCGCACUUCUGAAAUUGGAAGUGGAGGAAGCUGGAACUUACUGACUGUAAGAAGAUAGAGGACCGAGGAGGACUUUCCUAGCAUUCAGUGGCACUUCCCCGGAUCUCCCUUCCCUUGUGUUCUGUGCUGCUUUUAGGACAGCUAAGAUGACUGCCAUUCUGCUGUGGCAGGCCCAGUUUGUCUUGUGCUUCCCUUCCCAUAGCCCAGUAUAAUCUCUGUUUAUCAGCAGGACUACCCCAGAACCCACGUGCCUCCCCUAGUAACCCAGAUGGCUGUCUCGUUCGUCAGAUCCUCCAUUUCCUACCCCCUUCACUCUCAACACAGCUCCCUUCUUAGUGACCAAAAUGGCAGCCUACUGACUGGCCUAGCUGACAGCGGGACUUAGCAACUGCUGCUGUUUCCAUAGUGACCAGCUUAUACCUCUUCCUGCUCUUUAGUGCACAAUUGGGUGUUGGCCUCACUUCCCUUCCAGCUCAGAUUCUUUAGAUCAGAGCCACCCUUGGGCACCAGUUGGCCACCUCAGUCACCAGCCAAGAUGGUUGCUUUGUCCACCAGAGGCUAAGUCAUCUCUCUGGUGCUGCAGUUCCCAGCUCCUUCCUGAUUUUUCUAAUCCCUCCUUCUGGGGAUCAGGAAGUUAAUAUUGCCAUGGGGGAGGUGGCGGGGUAUGACUGUCACCUCAAUAGUUUUACUGUACAAGGGAAAUUUGAACA
This is an RNA transcript of Choloepus didactylus (southern two-toed sloth), 2760 nucleotides long. It is a transcript of the gene named ephrin B3, with no coding region annotated. The transcript has 6 exons. NCBI's taxonomy places the organism in Eukaryota, Metazoa, Chordata, Mammalia, Pilosa, Megalonychidae. The record is from RefSeq and is a predicted model, not a curated record.